RNAcentral lists this ribosomal RNA (252 nucleotides) under uncultured bacterium. Its description in RNAcentral is "partial 16S ribosomal RNA". It matches the Rfam family "Bacterial small subunit ribosomal RNA", at positions 526 to 779 of the family's 1533-position model. The record is from RNAcentral.
CGGAGGGUGCAAGCGUUAUCCGGAUUCACUGGGUUUAAAGGGAGCGCAGGCGGAUUUGUAAGUCAGUGGUGAAAGGCUUAAGCUUAACUUGGGAACUGCCAUUGAUACUAUAAGUCUUGAAUGUUGUUGAGGUUUGCGGAAUGGGUCAUGUAGCGGUGAAAUGCAUAGAUAUGACCCGGAACACCUAUUGCGAAGGCAGCAGGCUAAACAAUAUUGACGCUGAGGCUCGAAAGCGUGGGAUCAAACAGGAUU